UUAUUUAUGCCCUGUGUGUUUAUGCUCAAUUCAUCAUAAUAUAUUUCUUCUAAUUUCUAUUUAUCAUAAUUUAUUUCUAAUUUCUAUUUACAUGCUUUGUUCAUUCCACCGGUUUAGUCACGGCGAUCCGGUGGUUUAACCACUGACCCAGUAUCCCCACUGGUUCGAUGACCAGUUCGAUUUUUAAAACACUGCUUUUAAACAAUGUAAAACCAUAUCAUCAUCAACACUUUCUCUCAAGUAACAAUUAUUCAGAAUCAGAGAAAAUUCAUAGUGACUUGCUGAGAUAUUCAACUGCAUGGAAGAAUUCUUCAAUUCUCAACAAACCAAACAAUCUCUUCCACAUACCAAGAUGAAAAAAUCAGAUUCAUUGUGUGCUCAGUUACAUGAAGAUCGUCAGAGAC
RNAcentral lists this long non-coding RNA (404 nucleotides) under Trifolium pratense (red clover). RNAcentral describes it as "long non-coding RNA (TPRA_LNC010434)". The record is from RNAcentral. Lineage: Eukaryota; Viridiplantae; Streptophyta; Magnoliopsida; Fabales; Fabaceae.